AGUAUAACCAACGGUUUAGCUAAGCCAAUCAAACAAUUUUUUUUUUUAAAUUUUUUAUUAUCAAAAACCCUAAUUUAUUCAUUAAAUUUUACUUCACUCUGCAUGUUAGCUUUGUUUGGUUCAUUGUUUAGCAAAAAAAAAAAAAAAAAAAAAGCCUUGUUUGGUUCAUCAAUGGCGAACCUUCCGAUCCUCCAAUUAGAGGAGCAAAUCGUAGAAACGGUGGACCGGAACCCGGUGGUGGUGAUAAUCGGAGAGACCGGUUCAGGAAAGAGCACCCAGGUCUCUCAGAUUCUGCACCGCAGAGGCUAAACCAAGUCUGGAAUCAUCGGCGUCACUCAGCCUCGUCGAGUCACUGCAGUUUCAGUCGCCAGGUUGCUUUAAAGAUCAUCUCUAGCGCAUGGUCUGGAGUUGAGGAAACCACCGAAUGGGGUGUUAUAGCUAUAUAGGUGAAAAACUACGCACGACAUGCAAUAUGCUAAUCCCAUUAACUAAUAUAUCAAACCUUAAUUGAGAUAAUAUAUCUAGAAGGUAA
Molecule: long non-coding RNA, 532 nt
Organism: Quercus robur (English oak)
Lineage: Eukaryota; Viridiplantae; Streptophyta; Magnoliopsida; Fagales; Fagaceae
Exons: 2
Source: RefSeq, a predicted model, not a curated record